UGUUUAUCAAAAACAUAUUCAUAAGAAAUUCCAAUUUAUGAUAAGCCCUGCCCAGUGAUACUUAUAAAUGGCUGCGGUAUCCUGACCGUACUAAGGUAGCAUAAUCACUUGUCUAAUAAUUAUAGUCUAGAAUGAAUGGGUAAACGAAUAAAUAACUGUCUACUGAAGUAUCCCUAAAAAUUAACCUUUAAGUGAAAAGGCUUAAAUAAUAAAGAAGGACAAGAAGACCCUAUAGAUCUUCCCUUUGUUUAUGAUACAAAAUCAUCUUCAAGAUUUGGAUGGGGCGUCCCGAGUACCACUUAAAUCACCACUCACAAAAUAUAGAUACACCACUCAACACACUAAACCUCAAAAUUGAAUUAAGAAAACUAAAGUUACCUUAGGGAUAACAGGCUAAUUCUUCUCUAGAGUCCAUAUUCACAGAAGAGCUUGGCACCUCGAUGUUGGCUUAGAAAUAUUCAUUGACGCAGCGGUCAAUAUUCCCAGUUUGUUCAACUGAUAAUAUUCUACGUGAUCUGAGUUCA
RNAcentral lists this ribosomal RNA (524 nucleotides) under Heterodrilus sp. n. PDW-2015. Its description in RNAcentral is "partial 16S ribosomal RNA". It matches the Rfam family "Bacterial large subunit ribosomal RNA", at positions 1801 to 2613 of the family's 2925-position model. The record is from RNAcentral. Lineage: Eukaryota; Metazoa; Annelida; Clitellata; Tubificida; Naididae.